This 417-nucleotide ribosomal RNA is filed under the name uncultured bacterium. RNAcentral's name for it is "bacterial SSU rRNA". It matches the Rfam family "Bacterial small subunit ribosomal RNA", at positions 355 to 787 of the family's 1533-position model. The record is from RNAcentral.
UGAGGAAUAUUGCACAAUGGGCGAAAGCCUGAUGCAGCAACGCCGCGUGAAGGAAGAAGGUCUUCGGAUCGUAAACUUCUGUCCUUGGGGAAGAAGAACUGACGGUACCCAAGGAGGAAGCCCCGGCUAAGCUACGUGCCAGCAGCCGCGGUAAAUACGUAGGGCGAAGCGUUAUCCGGAAUUAUUGGGCGUAAAGAGUACGUAGGUGGCAACUUAAGCGCAGGGUUUAAGGCAAUGGCUCAACCAUUGUUCGCCCUGCGAACUGGGAUGCUUGAGUGCAGGAGAGGAAAGCGGAAUUCCUAGUGUAGCGGUGAAAUGCGUAGAUAUUAGGAGGAACACCAGUGGCGAAGGCGGCUUUCUGGACUGUAACUGACACUGAGGUACGAAAGCGUGGGGAGCAAACAGGAUUAGAUACCC